AAACCAGCGUCGAAACAGAAUGACAUAACCCGCCGAGUUUGCUGAAAUCACGUGACUGUGUACGCAGCUCGCCAAAACGGACAACAAAAAAAGUAAAAAUCCCAAUGCUGUUGGGUGUUGUAUAUUAACAAUUAUUUGACCAUCACUUUGCACAGUAUUGUGUAAAGCACUGGUUAGGUCUUGCACCAACCACGAGUGUGUGUUUUAGCUCGGCUCCUCGGGGUGUGUUCAAAGACAGCUGUUGGGUUAUAUAAAUAAUCGAUCCUGGAGAGCUCUUACCUGACAUGGCAUGUGUUGCAGCCUGACUUUCGUGACACCUACGGCGAAGAGGACCGGACUGGCUCCCUCGCAGCGACGUGGUCGGGUGCGGCUGUUACUGAGCACACCCCUCUGCUCAGGCAUCAGGUGAUACUUCAGUGCCUCGAUCAGCAGGUCUUUGCACUCGGAGUGGUGACGCACCAGCAGCUCUGUAUCCACAUUACUCAUCAGGAAGUCUCGUGUCAGCAGGGGCAGACGCACACACUUCAUCAGCUGAAGAGAGAAAUGGACGGAGAGUGAGAGCGCAGUUUGACGGGAGGAAUCACACCCACCCGGGGCACGUGUUGCCUCCGCCCGUCAAUGUCAUGUUUGACCCAGCUCAACACAGCCCUGUACACCUCCUCCUCUGAUGGGACAUUCAGGUUAUCACUGGAGAUCAGA
Megalobrama amblycephala (Wuchang bream) is the source of this 699-nucleotide long non-coding RNA. RefSeq lists it as uncharacterized. NCBI's taxonomy places the organism in Eukaryota, Metazoa, Chordata, Actinopteri, Cypriniformes, Xenocyprididae. The record is from RefSeq and is a predicted model, not a curated record. The transcript is spliced from 4 exons.